CCCUAUAGGUUACAGCUGCUGGAAUGCUCUGUAACCGAAAGUUCCGGCGCCUUAGGAUGGAUCUGCGGCCGAUUAGGUUGUUGUCGGGGUAACGGCCCAACAAGCCAGUAAUCGGUACGGGUUGUGGGAGCAAGAGCCCGGAGUUGGAUUCUGAGACACGAAUCCAGGCCCUACGGGGCGCAGCAGGCGCGAAAACUUUACAAUGCGGGAAACCGUGAUAAGGGAACUCCGAGUGCCUGUUAAAUCGGGCUGUCCACCAGUUUAAAAAACUGGUGAAGAAAGGGCCGGGCAAGACCGGUGCCAGCCGCCGCGGUAAUACCGGCGGCUCGAGUGGUGGCCACUAUUACUGGGCUUAAAGCGUUCGUAGCUGGUUUGUUAAGUCUCUGGGGAAAUCUUCCGGCUUAACCGGAAGGCGUCUCAGGGAUACUGGCAGACUAGGGACCGGAAGAGGUGAGGGGUACUCCAGGGGUAGGAGUGAAAUCCUGUAAUCCUUGGGGGACCACCUGUGGCGAAGGCGCCUCACCAGGACGGCUCCGACAGUGAGGGACGAAAGCUGGGGGAGCAAACCGGAUUAGAUACCCGGGUAGUCCCAGCCGUAAACGAUGUGCGUUAGGUGUAUCGGUGACCACGAGUCACCGAGGUGCCGAAGAGAAAUCGUGAAACGUACCGCCUGGGAAGUACGGUCGCAAGGCUGAAACU
This 699-nucleotide ribosomal RNA is filed under the name uncultured archaeon. RNAcentral describes it as "bacterial SSU rRNA". It matches the Rfam family "Archaeal small subunit ribosomal RNA", at positions 152 to 856 of the family's 1478-position model. The record is from RNAcentral.